AGAGUUUGAUCCUGGCUCAGAUUGAACGCUGGCGGCAUGCCUAACACAUGCAAGUCGAACGCGAAAGUCGCCUUCGGGUGGCGAGUAGAGUGGCGGACGGGUGAGUAAUACAUGGGAAUCUACCCUGCAGUGGGGGACAACCCGGGGAAACUCGGGCUAAUACCGCAUACGACCUACGGGUGAAAGGGGGCUUCGGCUCUCGCUGCAGGACGAGCCCAUGUCCGAUUAGCUAGUUGGUGAGGUAAAGGCUCACCAAGGCGACGAUCGGUAGUUGGUCUGAGAGGAUGGCCAGCCACACUGGGACUGAGACACGGCCCAGACUCCUACGGGAGGCAGCAGUGGGGAAUAUUGGACAAUGGGCGAAAGCCUAAUCCAGCAAUGCCGCGUGUGUGAAGAAGGCCUGCGGGUUGUAAAGCACUUUCAGUGGGGAAGAAAGACUGGUGGUUAAUACCCGCUGGUUUUGACGUUACCCACAGAAGAAGCACCGGCUAACUCCGUGCCAGCAGCCGCGGUAAUACGGAGGGUGCGAGCGUUAAUCGGAAUCACUGGGCGUAAAGCGCACGUAGGUGGUUGAGUAAGUCAGAUGUGAAAUCCCCGGGCUUAACCUGGGAACUGCAUUUGAAACUGCUUGGCUAGAGUCCGAUAGAGGGGGGUGGAAUUCCAGGUGUAGCGGUGAAAUGCGUAGAUAUCUGGAGGAACAUCAGUGGCGAAGGCGACCCCCUGGAUCGAGACUGACGCUGAGGUGCGAAAGCGAGGGGAGCAAACAGGAUUAGAUACCCUGGUAGUCCACGCUGUAAACGAUGUCAACUAGUCGUUGGGUCCAUUUAAGGGUUUAGUGGCGCAGCUAACGCGAUAAGUUGACCGCCUGGGGAGUACGGCCGCAAGGUUAAAACUCAAAGGAAUUGACGGGGCCCGCACAAGCGGUGGAGCAUGUGGUUUAAUUCGAUGCAACGCGAAGAACCUUACCAGCCCUUGACAUCCUCGGAAUCCAGCGGAGACGUUGGAGUGCCUUCGGGAGCCGAGUGACAGGUGCUGCAUGGCUGUCGUCAGCUCGUGUCGUGAGAUGUUGGGUUAAGUCCCGUAACGAGCGCAACCCUUGUCCUUAGUUGCCAGCACAUAAUGGUGGGAACUCUAAGGAGACUGCCGGUGAUAAACCGGAGGAAGGUGGGGAUGACGUCAAGUCAUCAUGGCCCUUAUGGGCUGGGCUACACACGUGCUACAAUGGCCGGUACAGAGAGUUGCGAAGCGGCGACGUGGAGCCAAUCUCAGAAAACCGGUCGUAGUCCGGAUCGCAGUCUGCAACACGACUGCGUGAAGUCGGAAUCGCUAGUAAUCGCGAAUCAGAAUGUCGCGGUGAAUACGUUCCCGGGCCUUGUACACACCGCCCGUCACACCAUGGGAGUUGGUUGCACCAGAAGUAGGUAGCUUAACCUUCGGGAGGGCGCUUACCACGGUGUGGUCAAUGACUGGGGUGAAGUCGAAACAAGGUA
This 1490-nucleotide ribosomal RNA is filed under the name metagenome. RNAcentral's name for it is "bacterial SSU rRNA". It matches the Rfam family "Bacterial small subunit ribosomal RNA". The record is from RNAcentral.